This 503-nucleotide ribosomal RNA is filed under the name uncultured bacterium. RNAcentral describes it as "partial 16S ribosomal RNA". It matches the Rfam family "Bacterial small subunit ribosomal RNA", at positions 29 to 507 of the family's 1533-position model. The record is from RNAcentral.
AACGAACGCUGGCGGCGUGCCUAACACAUGCAAGUCGAACGAGAAAGGGGCUUCGGCUCCGAGUAAAGUGGCGCACGGGUGAGUAACACGUGGGUAACCUGCCUCUAAGAUUGGGAUAACUCGUCGAAAGAUGAGCUAAUACCGAAUAAGACCACAGUUCCCGCGGGAACAGGGGUCAAAGGUAGCCUCUGCUUGCAAGCUAUCACUUCGAGAUGGGCCUGCGCACCAUUAGCUAGUUGGUAGGGUAACGGCCUACCAAGGCAAAGAUGGUUAGCUGGUCUGAGAGGAUGAUCAGCCACACUGGAACGGAGACACGGUCCAGACUCCUACGGGAGGCAGCAGUGGGGAAUAUUGCGCAAUGGGCGAAAGCUUGACGCAGCAACGCCGCGUGAGUGAUGAAGGCCGUCGGGUCGUAAAGCUCUGUCGGGAGGAACGAAUGCUCCUGAGGUUAACAGCCUCGGGAGGUGACGGUACCUUCAAAGGAAGCACCGGCUAACUCUGUG